RNAcentral lists this unclassified non-coding RNA (291 nucleotides) under Hevea brasiliensis (rubber tree). Lineage: Eukaryota; Viridiplantae; Streptophyta; Magnoliopsida; Malpighiales; Euphorbiaceae. The record is from RNAcentral.
UACCAGACGAAAUGUUGUUAGAUAUGGAAGUUUAGGAAUUGCUGCAUCCUGUCUCCUCUUUACUAUUACAAACUGGAAGGCAAUGCAGUAUGCAUCUCCAAAAGCUAUCUGGAACUUGUUGUUCGGCACAGGCAAUCCUCCUUUUGAACAGAAAGAAGAUGCGUCCAGUUCACAGAGGAUUCAACAAUUUGUAAACUAUAUAUCUGAUGUGGAUGCCAGGAAAUCUACGACUAUCGUGCCCGAGUUCCCAUCUAAACUUGAUUGGCUGAAUACAAGCCCCCUUCAGCUAGG